CGUUCCAUCUGGAGAAUCUGGAGACAGGUGCUGCAUGGCUGUCGUCAGCUCGUGUCGUGAGAUGUUGGGUUAAGUCCGCAACGAGCGCAGCCCUUGCCUUUAGUUGCCAGCGGUUCGGGCUGGGCACUCUAAAGGGAACUGCCGGUGUUAAACCGGAGGAAGGUGGGGAUGACGUCAAGUCCUCAUGGCCUUUAUGACCAGGGCUACACACGUACUACAAUGGCCGAUACAAAGGGCAGCGACACUGCGAGGUGAAGCCAAUCCCGUAAAAUCGGUCUCAGUCCGGAUUGGAGUCUGCAACUCGACUCCAUGAAGUUGGAAUCGCUAGUAAUCGUGGAUCAGCAUGCCACGGUGAAUACGUUCCCGGGCCUU
RNAcentral lists this ribosomal RNA (372 nucleotides) under uncultured Desulfobulbus sp. RNAcentral describes it as "bacterial SSU rRNA". It matches the Rfam family "Bacterial small subunit ribosomal RNA", at positions 1013 to 1382 of the family's 1533-position model. Lineage: Bacteria; Pseudomonadati; Thermodesulfobacteriota; Desulfobulbia; Desulfobulbales; Desulfobulbaceae. The record is from RNAcentral.